GCGGGUCCGGGUCCGCUGCUUGGCGCUGCGGGUGGCGGGCCAUGGUGGUUUGGAUUGAGCCGGGCCCGGCCGGGGCGCCGAGUCGGAGGGGGUGGCAGUGAGCGGCGGCAGAGGCUGCGGGGCUCGGUUUGGCUGACUGGGGAGUCGGCAGGCGGCAGGGCAGGAAUGAUAUCGCCACCGUCUCCAUCUGUAAGAAGUGCAUUUACCCCAAGCCAGCCCGAACACACCACUGCAGCAUCUGCAACAGGUGUGUGCUGAAGAUGGAUCACCACUGCCCCUGGCUAAACAAUUGUGUGGGCCACUAUAACCAUCGGUACUUCUUCUCUUUCUGCUUUUUCAUGACUCUGGGCUGUGUCUACUGCAGCUAUGGAAGUUGGGACCUUUUCCGGGAGGCUUAUGCUGCCAUUGAGAAAAUGAAACAGCUCGACAAGAACAAACUACAGGCGGUUGCCAACCAGACUUAUCACCAGACCCCACCACCCACCUUCUCCUUUCGAGAAAGGAUGACUCACAAGAGUCUUGUCUACCUCUGGUUCCUGUGCAGUUCUGUGGCACUUGCCCUGGGUGCCCUAACUGUAUGGCAUGCUGUUCUCAUCAGUCGAGGUGAGACUAGCAUCGAAAGGCACAUCAACAAGAAGGAGAGACGUCGGCUACAGGCCAAGGGCAGAGUAUUUACGAAUCCUUACAACUACGGCUGCUUGGACAACUGGAAGGUAUUCCUGGGUGUGGAUACAGGAAGGCACUGGCUUACUCGGGUGCUCUUACCUUCUAGUCACCUGCCCCAUGGGAAUGGAAUGAGCUGGGAGCCCCCUCCUUGGGUGACUGCUCACUCAGCCUCUGUGAUGGCAGUGUGAGCUGGACUGUGUCAGCCACGACUCGAGCACUCAUUCUGCUCCCUAUGUUAUUUCAAGGGCCUCCAAGGGCAGCUUUUCUUGGAAUCCUUGAUCA
Molecule: small RNA, 948 nt
Filed under: Pan troglodytes (chimpanzee)
Lineage: Eukaryota; Metazoa; Chordata; Mammalia; Primates; Hominidae
Description: processed transcript
Source: RNAcentral